AUGCAGAUUGCUGGACUCAACACCCUCGGCAUCUCAAUUGCGCGCAUCGACUAUGCUCCCUUAGGUCAGAACCCACCACAUACGCACCCUCGCGCCACUGAGAUCCUCACGGUGCUCGAGGGGAUACUAUAUGUUGGCUUUGUCACAUCCAACCAGCCCGCCCCCAACAGAAACAAGUUCCUUUCCAAGAUGCUCAACAAAGGUGAUGUGUUUGUCUUCCCCGUGGGGCUCAUCCACUUCCAAUUCAACCCCAACCCCCACCAGCCCGCUGUUGCAAUUGCCGCGCUUAGCAGCCAGAACCCAGGGGCUAUCACAAUUGCCAAUGCAGUGUUUGGGUCGGACCCACCAAUAUCAGAUGAUGUUCUUGCCAAGGCAUUUCAGGUGGAAAAGAAUACAAUAGACUAUCUCCAGGCUCAAUUUUGGGAGAACAACCACAACUAA
This 441-nucleotide ribosomal RNA is filed under the name Triticum aestivum (bread wheat). Its description in RNAcentral is "partial small subunit ribosomal RNA". Lineage: Eukaryota; Viridiplantae; Streptophyta; Magnoliopsida; Poales; Poaceae. The record is from RNAcentral.